AUUGAACGCUGGCGGCAGGCCUAACACAUGCAAGUCGAGCGAGCGGCGGACGGGUGAGUAUUGUAUGGGGACUGCUCGAUAGAGGGGGAUAACUACUGGAAACGGUGGCUAAUACCGCAUACUGUCGGAUAACCCAUAUGGGAUUAGCUAGUAGGUAAGGUAAUGGCUUACCUAGGCGACGAUCCCUAGCUGGUCUGAGAGGAUGAUCAGCAAAACUGGAACGGAGACACGGCCCGAACCCCUACGGAGGAAGAAGGGGGGAAUAUUGGCCAAGGGGCGCAGUCCUAAUGCAGCCAUGCGGCGUGUAUGAGACGGGCCCUAGGGUUGAAAGGUACUUUCAGCCGGAAGGCGUUACCGGAAGAAGAAGCACCGGCUAACUCCGUGCCAGCAGCCGCGGUAAUAC
Molecule: ribosomal RNA, 403 nt
Filed under: uncultured bacterium
Lineage: Bacteria
Description: partial 16S ribosomal RNA
Rfam family: Bacterial small subunit ribosomal RNA
Source: RNAcentral